UCAUAUCCGUUGGGGUGCCCGUUUUGGGCUGAGAGGUAGCAAUACCAACCCACCGAACCUGAUCCGGCUCGCACCGGCGGAGGGAACGGAAACCGCGCCUCA
This 102-nucleotide non-coding RNA is filed under the name Roseovarius marisflavi. Its description in RNAcentral is "TPP sequence". It matches the Rfam family "TPP riboswitch aptamer (THI element)". Rfam says of the family: Vitamin B(1) in its active form thiamin pyrophosphate (TPP) is an essential coenzyme that is synthesised by coupling of pyrimidine and thiazole moieties in bacteria. The previously detected thiamin-regulatory element, thi box was extended, resulting in a new, highly conserved RNA secondary structure, the THI element, which is widely distributed in eubacteria and also occurs in some archaea. Lineage: Bacteria; Pseudomonadati; Pseudomonadota; Alphaproteobacteria; Rhodobacterales; Roseobacteraceae. The record is from RNAcentral.